GAGAACCGAGAGGCGCCUCCUAGGAGGCGGGUGGGCAAACGGAGACCUACGCCUCGGGGUCUCCCGGUGCCCCGGCUGGGUCCCGCCCGCCGGCGGAGGGGCGCGUCCUCACUCACCGGUUCCGGUGGCGCCGCUCUCCCGGGGCGCCCAGCACAGCGCGAGCAGCAGCCAGAGCGCCCAGAGCGCGGACGUGCCCAUGGUGCCCGCCUGGAUGGUGCCGCCGCCGCCGCCGCCGCCGCCGUUCGCUCCGCACGACAAGUUACCAGUCCUUCCGAAAGGAGGAAGAAGGUGGGGGCGGGGAGGGGAAAGGGGGAGAAGGAGGGGAAGGAGUUGGCGGGGGAAGGGAGCGGGGAAGAAGAGGGCACCCCCUCCCCUACAACUUGCACAGUCUCCUCCCCACCCACCCAGCCACCUCCCCGGGCUGCAGCAGCAGUGCAAGCCGAGCCUGCGGGCAGAAAAUAAUGCAGGCGCUGCAGAGGAGGGGAGGCAAGGGGAGAGGAGGGAAGGGAGAGGGGGUGGGGAGCCGAGAGCAGAAGAGAGCACAGAACGGAGAGGAGCCGGUAGCGGAGCACCCGCACCGGCGGCGGCCGGAGAGCGGGGUGAGCAGCGGGGAGGGGGCCGGAGGGGGCGUGGUCAACGGGAGGCGCGGCGGGCGGGCGGGAGCGCGGCGGCUUCGGCCCUCCUUUCCCUCGACGCGCUCCUCUUGCACGCGCCGGGCAGCCGGGUGCCCGCGCGGGGAGCGUGCGAGUGUGAGCGUGCGUGAGUGACCGCGGUCGUGGUCGUGGCUGCCGCCGCCGCCACCCGGACCGCUCUAGGGGCCCGGCUGCUCCGCGCGUUCGCCUGGGGCUCACGGGGGCCCGGGGCGACCGCUGGUUGGCUCGCGCGCCGCCCUCGCCUCCAAUCCCGGGUGCCUGUCCUAAUUUCCUGAUCCAGGGAACCUGCCGCCGCAGCGGCUGUGCGCUCCCUACAGUCAUUACUGUACCCUCCCGGCAGCCUCCGGCAGAACACGCAGCAGCAGCAGCAGUUAGCGCUGAUGCAACUAUCGUUGCUGUUGCCACCGCCUCCCCACUGACGGGGCGUGCACCUGGGGGGUACUUGCAGUUUCCAGGGGCAACAAGCAUCUCUCUACCACCCUCUCCUGCGCCCCUGAGAGAGGCUGGCUCCAAGCUUGAUAUAGAAGACUAUCAUAUGAACCAGAAAGGGUAACUGAAACCAAAGAAAUGACUCCAGUAUCAAGCUAAAGACAUGCCUUAAAGGAUGAGGAGGAGCAGAAAUCUUACCAGCAAGGCAAGAAAGAAGCCGUACGUGAACAGCCUCUGCUUUAGGCCCAGAAGGAAAAGAAGCUUACAGGAGACAAUCAGUCUUACACUCUUCCAUGGUCACAAACAAGAGGUCCCUGGAUCUACAGUAUCUAGGCCCACAUGCAAUAUGACUUUGCAACUCAUCCCAUCAGAGGAUGGAAACUAUUUCUUCACCCCCUUGAACCUGGGCUGGCUUUGUAAUUUGUUUUGGCCAAUAGAAUGUGGUGGAAGUGAUGGUGUUACCAGAAAGAGUUCCCAAUCCAGACUCGUGCGAGAAAGAAUUUGAGAAAUGAAAGAACCAGAGCAUUAUAGCAGAACGAAUCCUGGAAUGGGAAUGGAAUGCCUGGAUUUGUGGCACAGUUGGGAAGCGUCCUGGCCAUGCCAUGUUAAAGCUGUCUCCAAGGCAGUGAUUCUUACCCUUGGCUACACAUUGGAGUCAUUUGGGAAGCUAGAAAAAAAAAAUGCCCAGGACCUGGGCAAGACGGCUGAAUAAGAACAGCUCUGGUCUGCAGUUCCUAGCAAGAUCAACGCAGAAGGGAAGCUGGCAGCCUGGGCUCUUGGAGAUUGUAUCUGGUGCCGGAGAGGACUGGCUCCCACACUCAGUGAGGGAGGAAUUUUACUGACCCAGCAUCCAGAUGAACUUUGGUGAGGAGAGGAGGACAUAAGAGCCUGGUGGUUGAUGAUGGAAGAGAUGAAACUGUGAAGAGACCGAAGAAGCUAAUCUAUCAAUAGUUAAGAUUCCAUUUCUAAAAGAUCUUACUUUGAGUCUACCUAUGCCUGGGAUGUCAAGAGGUGCUGAGGAUUGAUUGGUGAAGACAGAGAGGGUCUUGGUUCUAACUGAGCUCACAUUCUAAAAGAGAAAAUAGAAAAUAAACACGAAAAACGAAUGGGAUCACUUCAGAAAUUGAAAAGGUCUAUAAGAAAAACAAAACAGGGUGUGUGAUAGAGGGUUGGGGAGGCUGUGACCAUGGAAGGCCUAAGAAAGUGAUAUUUGAAAUGAAACUUGAGUUGCAGAAGGGAGCCAGCUGUGCAAGGCUGAGGACCAAAUAUUUCAGGAGGGAACGGCCAAGGCAGAAAUGAGCAUGGCCUGCUGGAGACCGAGAAUGAACUGUUAGUGGGUUCCCACUGCACAGGGCCUGGGGAGGCUACCCAUGCUCAUCUCAUGGUAAUGUGCCAGCAACUCAGCCUACUGGCAUCAUGAUGAAUCUCCGGGCUGCUAACUGGGCUUCAUGUUGCAUAGGUGAACUGUCCCGCCACCUGCUUGAGGCUGGCAGAGCCCAGGGGGUGAG
This 2590-nucleotide long non-coding RNA is filed under the name Homo sapiens (human). RNAcentral describes it as "non-protein coding VLDLR-AS1:15". Lineage: Eukaryota; Metazoa; Chordata; Mammalia; Primates; Hominidae. The record is from RNAcentral.